GACGAACGCUGGCGGCGUGCUUAACACAUGCAAGUCGAACGGAAAGGCCCUGCUUGUGUGGGGUGCUCGAGUGGCGAACGGGUGAGUAACACGUGAGUAACCUGCCCUUGACUUUGGGAUAACUUCAGGAAACUGGGGCUAAUACCGGAUAGGAGCUCCUGCUGCAUGGUGGGGGUUGGAAAGUUUCGGCGGUUGGGGAUGGACUCGCGGCUUAUCAGCUUGUUGGUGGGGUAGUGGCCUACCAAGGCUUUGAUGGGUGGCCGGCCUGAGAGGGUGACCGGCGACAUUGGGACUGAGAUACGGCCCAGACUCCUACGGGAGGCAGCAGUGGGGAAUAUUGCACAAUGGGCGGAAGCCUGAUGCAGCAACGCCGCGUGCGGGAUGACGGCCUUCGGGUUGUAAACCGCUUUCGCCUGUGACGAAGCGUGAGUGACGGUAAUGGGUAAAGAAGCACCGGCUAACUACGUG
RNAcentral lists this ribosomal RNA (468 nucleotides) under uncultured bacterium. RNAcentral's name for it is "partial 16S ribosomal RNA". It matches the Rfam family "Bacterial small subunit ribosomal RNA", at positions 28 to 507 of the family's 1533-position model. The record is from RNAcentral.